This 504-nucleotide ribosomal RNA is filed under the name uncultured bacterium. RNAcentral's name for it is "partial 16S ribosomal RNA". It matches the Rfam family "Bacterial small subunit ribosomal RNA", at positions 30 to 523 of the family's 1533-position model. The record is from RNAcentral.
AUUGAACGCUGGCGGCAGGCCUAACACAUGCAAGUCGAACGGUAGCACAGAGAGCUUGCUCUCAGGUGACGAGUGGCGGACGGGUGAGUAACGUCUGGGAAACUGCCCGAUGGAGGGGGAUAACUACUGGAAACGGUAGCUAAUACCGCAUAACGUCGCAAGACCAAAGUGGGGGACCUUCGGGCCUCACACCAUCGGAUGUGCCCAGAUGGGAUUAGCUAGUAGGUGGGGUAAUGGCUCACCUAGGCGACGAUCCCUAGCUGGUCUGAGAGGAUGACCAGCCACACUGGAACUGAGACACGGUCCAGACUCCUACGGGAGGAAGCAGUGGGAAAUAUUGCACAAUGGGCGCAAGCCUGAUGCAGCCAUGCCGCGUGUAUGAAGAAGGCCUUCGGGUUGUAAAGUACUUUCAGCGGGGAGGAAGGCGGUGGAGUUAAUAACUUCACCGAUUGACGUUACCCGCAGAAGAAGCACCGGCUAACUCCGUGCCAGCCGCCGCCGUAA